AUUUAAGAAUUUUAAUUAAAAAAUUGGUUUGUGGAACCAAGGAGGAGAAAAAAAGGCCUCCUAAAUU
RNAcentral lists this transfer RNA (67 nucleotides) under Erianthus versicolor. Its description in RNAcentral is "tRNA-His". Lineage: Eukaryota; Metazoa; Arthropoda; Insecta; Orthoptera; Chorotypidae. The record is from RNAcentral.